RNAcentral lists this ribosomal RNA (682 nucleotides) under uncultured bacterium. Its description in RNAcentral is "bacterial SSU rRNA". It matches the Rfam family "Bacterial small subunit ribosomal RNA", at positions 39 to 703 of the family's 1533-position model. The record is from RNAcentral.
GCGGCGUGCUUACCAUGCAAGUCGUGCGAGAAAGGGGACUUCGGUCCCUGAGUAGAGCGGCGCACGGGUGAGUAACGCGUGGGUGAUCUACCCGGAAGUCUGGGAUAACGGCGGGAAACUGCCGCUAAUACCGGUUAAUCUUCCAAUUCGAAUUGGAGGGAAAGACGGCCUCUGCUUGCAAGCUGUCGCUUUCGGAUGAGCCCGCGUCCCAUUAGCUUGUUGGCGGGGUAACGGCCCACCAAGGCAACGAUGGGUAGCUGGUCUGAGAGGAUGAUCAGCCACACUGGGACUGAAACACGGCCCAGACUCCUACGGGAGGCAGCAGUGGGGAAUAUUGCGCAAUGGGGGAAACCCUGACGCAGCGACGCCGUGUGAGGGAAGAAGGCCUUCGGGUCGUAAACCUCUGUCGGGAGGGAAGAACCGCCAGGUUCCGAACAGGGACCUGGCCUGACGGUACCUCCGAAGGAAGCGCCGGCUAACUCCGUGCCAGCAGCCGCGGUAAUACGGAGGGCGCGAGCGUUAAUCGGAAUCACUGGGCGUAAAGCGCACGUAGGCGGCCAGAUAAGUCGGGCGUGAAAGCCCUCGGCUCAACCGAGGAAUUGCGUUCGAUACUGUUUGGCUUGAGUCCUGGAGAGGGUGGCGGAUCUCCGGGUGUAGGAGUGAAAUCCGUAAAUAUCCGGAG